Molecule: long non-coding RNA, 2645 nt
Organism: Gymnodraco acuticeps
Lineage: Eukaryota; Metazoa; Chordata; Actinopteri; Perciformes; Bathydraconidae
Exons: 2
Source: RefSeq, a predicted model, not a curated record
CAGUGAAGAAGGAGGGUUUGUUAGUCGACGGUAGCAAACAAGGCACAGUAAGUGCACAUCAUUGGCAGCUAAAAGCUCUGGGCACCGUCCCUCUGGUUGUUCCAGAGAAAUGCCAACCGUUUUGGCGUCGACAGGGCCCUCACAGACGGCGCACGAAGGCACAGAUGGCACUAAUGGACGAGCAGAAUCCAACCGAGGGACCGGGACAGAGCCACACCGGAGCGCCGUCCAAAUAACUGUAGUGUGAAUGUACUGUAUGGCCAACGAGCCGCUCUGCUCUAGCGGGGACGAUGCCACGGCAAUGCGGCAUAAAGAAUUUAAAAUGAUAAAAUAAUCAUAAGAGAGGGAGAUCGUGGGAGGAUCGGCGUGGAGCGCUGCCAGGAAGAUCAGACAGAGGAGGGAUUGUUCUCAGGAUGAUAUGUGCCGAAAUGAGUUAGACAGACGUCGUCUAAGUCAACCCACUCCAGCCAGACAACUGGGUUUACAGCUAAAGGACUGACUGAAGCACUGUCUAUUAAAGAAGAUCCAGUUCAUAGGCCGCACCUUCUCCUGAUACAAUGGUACUUUUGUUCUCACCUGUGAUGGGACUUACAUAAAAAAGAUAUUUCCCAUACGAUACCCGAAUGCCGCAGAAUUUAACAUUUGUUUUGCAAAGCAUUCACAAAAAAAUCCCUGUGUCAACCACUUGCUUCUUAAGCUAGUAGUGCUAAGCAGAUGCUUGUAGGAAGAACUAGUCACAGCUUUUAAUGGUGCAAACAGGCUACUGAAACCCAGUUUGGAGCACCAUGUUCUUUGGAUAAAAGUUGAAAUACUUCUAAAAGGUCACGAUAGCUUAAGUUUGGGCCAUCUUCAGCCGCCUGCGUUGUUUCUAAAAAUGCGAGCGGCUUUCAGAGGUGAGAGGAAAAGCAGAUAGGUGGGCAGACUGGAAGAAAUUAUGGCAUUACAUUAUUUUGCAAUCUAGCAAAAUAUAGAUAACAGUUUAUCAGGUGCUAGUUGGCAAAGAAAAUACAGUAAAAAGCAUUACAACCUUAAAUGAUGACACAAGUAAGAUACUAACUUGUAGAACACUUUGUAUAAAAACAUGCAAACUGCAGUAGCACCCAAAUUCCACAACAACAAAAAAGGAAAGAAAAAGAAGCCAGUUGUACAGUGGACACACAGCUGCUCAAUGUCCCAGAAGCUCAGAUCUGCAGUCCAACAUGCUCAGACAACAUGUGCAAGCCUUCCGAACAAGGAUUCCAAACAUAAACUGAAAAUAAAGAGGGGGCCAUUUGUUAAUUUUUCUUCUGGUUGCCACAGUGUAUCAGCGUCGACAGAGGGCCAGUGGGCUCAUCUGUACUUUUAAAUUACGUGUCAUCGCCACAACCGUCCUCCCAGAGCAGCCAGGAGAGACGCCACAAACACUCAGAACUGCACUUAAAACAUAAGCUCACACCAUGUCUCCAGGCAACAACCACAUCAACUAAACAGCUCUUAUUUUUGCUUUAAAUAACAUUGGCCCUUCUGAUACAACACUGUUUUGGUCAACAGAAUGAACUUGCUGAAACCUAAGGGUUUUUAGAUACAUACAUACCAACAGCAAUGAUGACAAAUACAUUAACAGGAACAAAUGUGUUAUGGUAUUUAGGACAUCUAGCAUUUUCUUCUUCUCUAUAUUGUUUCAAGAUAUUAAUAUGACUUUGUUGGGAAUUAUUUAUUUAACCCCUGCGGAUAAUAAAGAUAUUAUAAAACACAUUAUAAGACUAUUAUAAGCAAGCAGCCUACACAAACUAAAGAAGGCGAUAGGAUUACCUCACUUGCUGAAUAAUAGUGUCAAACCGGUAAGAACAAGUAUAUAUUUCCACCUGCAUUCUGCAAUUAUGGUCUGUCAUUUUAGAAUUUCCCCAUCACCCCAGUGGACUGCCUCACAGGCGAAGCAUUGACUAGUUAAAUAUCUAGUAAUCAAUAUAUAUUUGAAAGUCUUCAUGGAGAUAAAAACAGCAUUUAUUGUCUGAGAAAUUGAAAACAUAUACAGUCGAGCUUUAAGGAACACGUUGGUCUUUGGACAAAAGUAGUCGAUAACCUCUUCCAGAUAGCAACAACAAAAAGAUAUAUAAUUGCAGAUAUAAGGGGCAGAGAAUGGAGGAAGAAAAUUGUUGUUGCUUAUGUGUACUAAACAUUUUCUAAAACUAUACUUUCUUAUAUACUUUCUAUAUUAGACAAUGAUCUGUCUGGAUCACCUGAUAAGAGUCGAAACAAUUUUCUCUGCAGAACGUAUCCAUCAAGUCGCACGAAGGCCUCUGAGCGUGAUAAAAGCAGUUACAAUGUGUAGAUGGUGAAAUAUAGUCAUUUGUCUUUCCUCAUUGCUGCAGUAGAUAUUAUAUUCAGAAAUAAAACAUGUGCAUAUAUGUCAAUAUUUGUAUAAAAGCAAGCAAGUACAGAGUUGUUGGUGAAUUAGAUUUUGAAUGAUAUGAUGAUGUUCGCCUUCAUGAUUAGAGAUAUAAAACGUGUGUUAGGAUAUUCAAGGUUACACAUUGAUUCUAACUUCUCAGUUUCUGAUGUGUCAGGGAGACCAACAUAUUUUAAAUAUCAUUACAAAUCUGCAUACAUGGAUUGCUGCUCUGGUUUCCACUCAUGCAUGGUUUGAGUAAAUGUUACUAAAUCAG